Molecule: ribosomal RNA, 253 nt
Filed under: uncultured bacterium
Lineage: Bacteria
Description: partial 16S ribosomal RNA
Rfam family: Bacterial small subunit ribosomal RNA
Source: RNAcentral
UACGGAGGAGGCAAGCGUUAUCCGGAAUUAUUGGGCGUGAAGCGUCCGUAGGUGGUUCACCAAGUCUGCUGUCAAAGGGUGGGGCUUAACCUCAUAAAGGCAGUGGAAACUGGUGAGCUAGAGUGCGGUAGGGGUAAGGGGAAUUCCCAGUGUAGCGGUGAAAUGCGUAGAGAUUGGGUAGAACAUCGGUGGCGAAAGCGCCUUACUGGGCCUGCACUGACACUGAGGGACGAAAGCUAGGUGAGCGAAAGGG